Molecule: ribosomal RNA, 492 nt
Filed under: uncultured bacterium
Lineage: Bacteria
Description: partial 16S ribosomal RNA
Rfam family: Bacterial small subunit ribosomal RNA
Source: RNAcentral
AGUGAACGCUGGCGGUAUGCCUAAUACAUGCAAGUCGAACGGCAGCACAGUAAGAUCUUGCCCUUACGGGUGGCGAGUGGCGGACGGGUGAGGAAUACAUCGGCAUCUACUUUUUCGUGGGGGAUAACGUAGGGAAACUUACGCUACUACCUCAUACGACCUACGGGUUAAAGCAGGGGAUCUUCGGACCUUGCGCGACUGAAUUAGCCGAUGUCGGAUUAGCUAGUUGGCGGGGUAAAGGCCCACCAAGGCAACGAUCCGUAGCUGGUCUGAGAGGAUGAUCAGCCACACUGGAACUGAGACACGGUCCAGACUCCUACGGGAGGCAGCAGUGGGGAAUAUUCGACAAUGGGCGAAAGCCUGACGCAGCCAUACCGCGUGGGUGAAGAAGGCCUUCGGGUUGUAAAGCCCUUUUGUUGGGAAAGAAAAGCAGCAGGUUAAUCCAUCGCUGUUCUGACGGUACCCAAAGAAUAAGCAACGGCUAACUUCGUG